This 515-nucleotide ribosomal RNA is filed under the name uncultured bacterium. RNAcentral's name for it is "bacterial SSU rRNA". It matches the Rfam family "Bacterial small subunit ribosomal RNA", at positions 40 to 507 of the family's 1533-position model. The record is from RNAcentral.
CGGCGUGCCUAAUACAUGCAAGUCGAACGCAUUUGUGGUUGAAAUGAUAUGAAGAACUUGUUCAAGAUUUGAUUUUCAACAUUGCAAUGAGUGGCGAACGGGUGAGUAACACGUGGGAAACCUACCUCUUAGCAGGGGAUAACAUUUGGAAACAAAUGCUAAUACCGUAUAAUAAUUAAAACCGCAUGGUUUUAGUUUAAAAGAUGGUCUUGCUAUCACUAAGAGAUGGUCCCGCGGUGUAUUAGUUAGUUGGUGAGGUAAUGGCUCACCAAGACAAUGAUACAUAGCCGAGUUGAGAGACUGACCGGCCACAAUGGGACUGAGACACGGCCCAUACUCCUACGGGAGGCAGCAGUAGGGAAUCUUCCACAAUGGACGAAAGUCUGAUGGAGCAACGCCGCGUGUGUGAUGAAGGGUUUCGGCUCGUAAAACACUGUUGUAAGAGAAGAAUGACAUUGAGAGUAACUGUUCAAUGUGUGACGGUAUCUUACCAGAAAGGAACGGCUAAAUACGUG